AAGACUUUAGUUUAAUAAAAGCAUCUGGGUUGCAUUCAGAAGAUGUAAGAUAAAGUCUUGCAAGUUUUA
RNAcentral lists this transfer RNA (69 nucleotides) under Etmopterus pusillus (smooth lanternshark). RNAcentral describes it as "tRNA-Ala". It matches the Rfam family "tRNA". From Rfam's summary of the family: Transfer RNA (tRNA) molecules are approximately 80 nucleotides in length. Their secondary structure includes four short double-helical elements and three loops (D, anti-codon, and T loops). Further hydrogen bonds mediate the characteristic L-shaped molecular structure. tRNAs have two regions of fundamental functional importance: the anti-codon, which is responsible for specific mRNA codon recognition, and the 3' end, to which the tRNAs corresponding amino acid is attached (by aminoacyl-tRNA synthetases). tRNAs cope with the degeneracy of the genetic code in two manners: having more than one tRNA (with a specific anti-codon) for a particular amino acid; and 'wobble' base-pairing, i.e. permitting non-standard base-pairing at the 3rd anti-codon position. Lineage: Eukaryota; Metazoa; Chordata; Chondrichthyes; Squaliformes; Etmopteridae. The record is from RNAcentral.